RNAcentral lists this ribosomal RNA (253 nucleotides) under uncultured bacterium. Its description in RNAcentral is "partial 16S ribosomal RNA". It matches the Rfam family "Bacterial small subunit ribosomal RNA", at positions 524 to 776 of the family's 1533-position model. The record is from RNAcentral.
UACGUAGGUGGCAAGCGUUGUCCGGAAUUAUUGGGCGUAAAGCGCGCGCAGGUGGUUUCUUAAGUCUGAUGUGAAAGCCCACGGCUCAACCGUGGAGGGUCAUUGGAAACUGGGGAACUUGAGUGCAGGAGAGAAGAGUGGAAUUCCACGUGUAGCGGUGAAAUGCGUAGAGAUGCGGAGGAACACCAGUGGCGAAGGCGACUCUUUGGCCCGUAACUGACACUGAGGCGCGAAAGCGUGGGGAGCAAACAGG